GCAGGCGGCGCACCCCGUGACGGCGGCGCGGCGUGCUGUCCGGCAACCUUAGCUGCCCCUUCCCCACCCUCCAGCAUGCCUUCCACGGCGACCUGAUCCACCACGACGCGGAACAGCUAGCUGGCCCGUUCCACUCGUGUCUGCACUGUAGCACCUCGUCAAGUGGCGACCUGACGAUAUCGCCAGUAGGCCACGGUGAGAACCCGACUAGAUCUGCGCACGGGAGACCAGGUCGUGCUGUCCCCGCAGAUUAGGCUGUCAAGCGGUUCUGUAAGGCUAAUCUAUCUCAUUUUGUUUAUUUUAUCCGAUUUCUGAUGCGUAGUAGGAAAGGAAUUGAAGCUGAAGACUAAAUUGAGAUUAGGGGUCUGAUUUCAUCGUCCCUUUGGAUUAGGAGCCGAUUUCAGUUGGUCUGAUUACCCUCAAGCAAUUGGCUGUUCUUGCUUUGCUAUAGCCAGAUCAUCUGAGUUUCGAUUUUACUCCUGGUUGCAUAGCUUCUUUCAUGACGUUGUUCUUCACCGAUGCUCGGACAAGAUUACUCUAUUAUAUCCCUGUAUAUGUAAAUGUAACUUGUAAUUUGCUCUUAGUUCUAUUUUUUAAAACAUAACAUGCUGCUAUUAUUGAGAACUGUUAAAUAAGAUAUGUAUGAACAAAGUCUCCGAUAGAUCUUUGCUGGCUGCAGAUGUAUCUAAUCCCGAAUAGAAGCAAAUGUCUGCUGGUGACAGUUCUACGGAUCAUUUUACAAAUAGGAUGGUGGUGACCUGAUAUCCUUUCAUUUGAUUUUUUAUUGGUAGUGUAUUUAAGAUCACUCUUAUAGCAAAUGUGUGGCUUAGUGUUGCCUGAUGAGUGUAGAUAUUAACUUCCCCUGUUGUGUAUGUGUAUCGAAGACAUUAGGAUAUGGUAAUCUGAUUUCCACUGCUUGAUUUGUUGGUUAGGAAAUAAAUAUGGCAUACAUGGUUCAUGGUUUUCAGUAUAUGCUUCUGAUAUGCAGUAUGGUUUUCCAGUACAUGAAUGUGUUACUGACUAUAUCAAAUUACUUAACAAUAGACCUGACUCCGAAUAGAAUCAUAACUUUGAAAUUAUAGUAAAUGCAUGUACCCAUGUUCCUUAAUUCUCCUAAAAAAUGUUCCUUAAUUAUCAGUGCAAAAGGCAUGGCUCAUACAUAGUCAUUCCAGUCUAUCUAUUCAUGGACCUGUCUACUCAUUGGAGAAGGAUUCGGUUCCAUUCUCUUAUUGGCUGCAAAGCUUGUUCAUUCUAAUAUGUUCAUUGGCAGAUGCAAAGCUAGUUCAUUCAUUCUAAUUUUGUCUCAUUACACUGCAGGGAAAGGUACAUUUUAGGUCAGAGCUGUCUUUGCAUGCUUUACAAGCUGUUGUAGCCACAGCUUGCAUGGCGUCCAUGGUUUCAUACAUUUUUGUUUGGUUCCUUGUAGGUACAUGCAGGUUUACUACUUUAUGUACCAGGCUGCACAGAUUUUGGGUACCAAAUAUAUUUUUGAAUGCUUGAUCACUGUUAUAGUAAAUUGACUGCCUGCAUAGUACACAAUUCUCGUAACUUACCAGACCUUCGUUGACCCUGCACAGUGGCAAUCAGAUCUGGGAAAAUACCAAGCACCUAUCAGACUAUCAGUGCACCUACAUUUGAGUGCAGCAAAACAUGCAUGACCGAUUGAUCUUGAUCAGAUUUGAUCACUGGUAAGGCACCAUGCAUGCCCUACUACGACGCCCUCGCUAAACCUGCUCUGUCGACCAGUUGACUUCUGUGCCAAUCCUUCUUCUGGUCUGAUUCUGUUGGGGGCUAAGUGAGCAAAGCAACUCAUGGUGUUUGGCUCAACUUCCAGUUCUGUGAUGUACAUGUAACCAGAUUGUAUUUGUUGGAACAGCGCCAGAUAGAAUGUGAAAGAACAGCAAUUCAUAUUGCUUCAUGUUCAGUAUCCCCUUCUUACUCAAUCUGGCACUCUCAUUCUAUUUUC
This is a long non-coding RNA of Panicum hallii, 1966 nucleotides long. RefSeq lists it as uncharacterized. The record is from RefSeq and is a predicted model, not a curated record. The transcript is spliced from 2 exons. NCBI's taxonomy places the organism in Eukaryota, Viridiplantae, Streptophyta, Magnoliopsida, Poales, Poaceae.